MicroRNA precursor from Brassica oleracea var. oleracea, 125 nucleotides. It matches the Rfam family "MIR9563 microRNA precursor family". Lineage: Eukaryota; Viridiplantae; Streptophyta; Magnoliopsida; Brassicales; Brassicaceae. The record is from Rfam.
GAAAUAUAAGAAUCCUUCUCUUAAUUUUUAACUAAAAAAGUUAAGAACCGGUUCUUAAAUAAGAGUUUUAAGAGCCGGUUCUUAACUUUUUUAGUUAAAAGUUAAGAGACAGGUUAUUAUAUUAC